RNAcentral lists this ribosomal RNA (439 nucleotides) under uncultured bacterium. Its description in RNAcentral is "partial 16S ribosomal RNA". It matches the Rfam family "Bacterial small subunit ribosomal RNA", at positions 339 to 795 of the family's 1533-position model. The record is from RNAcentral.
CUACGGGCUGCACCAGUGAGGAAUAUUGCACAAUGGAGGAAACUCUGAUGCAGCAACGCCGCGUGGAGGAUGACGCAUUUCGGUGUGUAAACUCCUUUUAUAUGUCAAGAAAAUGACGGUAGCACAUGAAUAAGCACCGGCUAACUCCGUGCCAGCAGCCGCGGUAAUACGGAGGGUGCAAGCGUUACUCGGAAUCACUGGGCGUAAAGGACGCGUAGGCGGGAGAUCAAGUCAGGUGUGAAAUCCUACAGCUUAACUGUAGAACUGCACUUGAAACUGGUAACCUAGAGUAUGGGAGGGGGAGAUGGAAUUAGUGGUGUAGGGGUAAAAUCCGUAGAUAUCACUAGGAAUACCUAAAGCGAAGGCGAUCUCCUGGAACAUAACUGACGCUAAGGCGUGAAAGCGUGGGGAGCAAACAGGAUUAGAUACCCCUGUAGUC